UACGUAGGGUGCAAGCGUUGUCCGGAAUUAUUGGGCGUAAAGAGCUUGUAGGCGGUUUGUCGCGUCUGCUGUGAAAUUUCGGGGCUCAACCCCGAACUUGCAGUGGGUACGGGCAGACUAGAGUGUGGUAGGGGAGAGUGGAAUCCCUGGUGUAGCGGUGAAAUGCGCAGAUAUCAGGAAGAACACCAAUGGCGAAAGCAGCUCUCUGGGACGGUACUGACGCUGAGACGCGAAAGCGUGGGGAGCGAACAGG
This 253-nucleotide ribosomal RNA is filed under the name uncultured bacterium. RNAcentral's name for it is "partial 16S ribosomal RNA". It matches the Rfam family "Bacterial small subunit ribosomal RNA", at positions 524 to 776 of the family's 1533-position model. The record is from RNAcentral.